UAGGGAAUCUUCCGCAAUGGACGCAAGUCUGACGGAGCAACGCCGCGUGAGUGAAGAAGGAUUUCGGUUCGUAAAACUCUGUUGUUAGAGAAGAACAGCGCAUAGAGUAACUGUUAUGCGUGUGACGGUAUCUAACCAGAAAGCCACGGCUAACUACGUGCCAGCAGCCGCGGUAAUACGUAGGUGGCAAGCGUUGUACGGAUUUAUUGGGCGUAAAGCGAGCGCAGGCGGUCAAUUAAGUCUGAUGUGAAAGCCCCCGGCUCAACCGGGGAGGGUCAUUGGAAACUGGUUGACUUGAGUGCAGAAGCGGAGAGUGGAAUUCCAUGUGUAGCGGUGAAAUGCGUAGAUAUAUGGAGGAACACCAGUGGCGAAGGCGACUCUCUGGUCUGUAACUGACGCUGAGGCUCGAAAGCGUGGGUAGCAAACAGG
Molecule: ribosomal RNA, 429 nt
Filed under: Bacteroidota bacterium
Lineage: Bacteria; Pseudomonadati; Bacteroidota
Description: Bacteroidetes bacterium partial 16S ribosomal RNA
Rfam family: Bacterial small subunit ribosomal RNA
Source: RNAcentral